RNAcentral lists this ribosomal RNA (586 nucleotides) under uncultured crenarchaeote. RNAcentral describes it as "bacterial SSU rRNA". It matches the Rfam family "Archaeal small subunit ribosomal RNA", at positions 47 to 641 of the family's 1478-position model. The record is from RNAcentral. Lineage: Archaea; Thermoproteati; Thermoproteota.
AGCCAUGCGAGUCAACGUAGCAAUACGUGGCAUACGGCUCAGUAACACGUAGUCAACAUGCCCAGAGGACGUGGAUAACCUCGGGAAACUGAGGAUAAACCGCGAUAGGUCAUAAUAUCUGGAAUGAUUUAUGGUUUAAAUCUAUAUGGCCUCUGGAUUGGACUGCGGCCGAUCAGGCUGUUGGUGAGGUAAUGGCCCACCAAACCUAAAACCGGUACGGGCUCUGAGAGGAGAAGCCCGGAGAUGGGCACUGAGACAAGGGCCCAGGCCCUAUGGGGCGCAGCAGGCGCGAAAACUCUGCAAUAAGCGAAAGCUUGACAGGGUUAUUCUGAGUGAUUUCCGCUAAGGAAAUCUUUUGGCACCUCUAAAAAUGGUGCAGAAUAAGGGGUGGGCAAGCCUGGUGUCAGCCGCCGCGGUAAUACCAGCACCCCGAGUGGUCGGGACGAUUAUUGGGCCUAAAGCAUCCGUAGCCGGUUCUACAAGUCUUCCGUUAAAUCCACCUGCUUAACAGAUGGGCUGCGGAGGAUACUAUGGAGCUAGGAGGCGGGAGAGGCAAGCGGUACUUAGUGGGUAGGGGUAAAAUCCG